RNAcentral lists this long non-coding RNA (1120 nucleotides) under Oryctolagus cuniculus (rabbit). RNAcentral's name for it is "lncRNA (ENSOCUG00000031450.1)". Lineage: Eukaryota; Metazoa; Chordata; Mammalia; Lagomorpha; Leporidae. The record is from RNAcentral.
AUUUAAAAAUAUAAUUAGCACAAUUUUCCAGAAUGUUCAUCAGGGAAUGAAUUUAUAAGUUGUUAUAUAAAGGAUUUUCCUGAAAAAUAAAGUCUUCACGAGGCAAGAAUUCUUGCAGUGAGUUCUGUGGCUAAUCCUUCCCUUUGAGGCAGUGUUUGUAGGGGAUGGAGGGAGUUAGUACUCACUGUAGGGGAUGGAGGGAGUUACUACCCACUGUAGGGGAUGGAGGGAGUUACUACCCACUGUAGGGGAUGGAGGAGUCACUACCCACUGUAGGGGAUGGAGGAGUCACUACCCACUGUAGGGAUGGAGGAGUUACCACCCACUGUAGGGGAUGGAGGAGUUAUUACUCACUGUAGGGAUGGAGGAGUUACUACCCACUGUAGGGGAUGGGGGAGUUACCACCCACUGUAGGGAUGGAGGAGUUACCACCCACUGUAGGGGAUGGAGGAGUUACUACCCACUGUAGGGGAUGGAGGAGUUACUACCCACUGUAGGGGAUGGAGGAGUUACCACCCACUGUAGGGGAUGGAGGAGUUACCACCCACUGUAGGGAUGGGGGAGUUACCACCCACUGUAGGGGAUGGAGGGAGUUACUACCCACUGUAGGGGAUGGAGGGAGUUACUACCCACUGGCUGACAGAUUUUCAUGGCCGGAGUUACAGUCACGGUGAUUUUGCUUAUUUAAGUAAAAUUUUAUUAUCUCUACUAUGAAAGGUGUAAAGUCACAGGAAACGGAAAAUCAGGAUCAACUCAUACUGAAAUGCAGCUAGAAAGUGGGUUUUGAAGAUUGAGUCAGAAAUUAAAAAUGCCUUUUGUGUGUAUCUGUUUUUUAUCAUGAUGAAAAUCAAUGGUUUCCCUUAUCCUGUGCAUCAAAUGCAAAUAGCUGCUGAAGUAGCUGCUCUUGCCCUGGUCUGUGCACUAUUUAGCUCCAGGGCACUUCCAAACAUUUGUGGGAAAAAAUGAAGUGGCAAGAUAAGUUUGUUUCAGGGCAAAUAAUUUUGAGAUCUAUGCACAACGUUUUCAUAACUUGUAUUUUCUGGGAACUUCAUGAAGAUCCCUCUGUAUACCUGGGUUGAAAAGUUUCUUUCCCACUGAAUAAACUCACCUCUCGGCUCCA